RNAcentral lists this ribosomal RNA (524 nucleotides) under uncultured Methylibium sp. Its description in RNAcentral is "bacterial SSU rRNA". It matches the Rfam family "Bacterial small subunit ribosomal RNA", at positions 1 to 526 of the family's 1533-position model. The record is from RNAcentral. Lineage: Bacteria; Pseudomonadati; Pseudomonadota; Betaproteobacteria; Burkholderiales; Sphaerotilaceae.
UAGAGUUUGAUCAUGGCUCAGAUUGAACGCUGGCGGCAUGCCUUACACAUGCAAGUCGAACGGCAGCACGGGAGCAAUCCUGGUGGCGAGUGGCGAACGGGUGAGUAAUACAUCGGAACGUGCCCAGUAGUGGGGGAUAACCCGGCGAAAGCCGGACUAAUACCGCAUACGACCUACGGGUGAAAGCAGGGGAUCGCAAGACCUUGCGCUAUCGGAGCGGCCGAUGUCAGAUUAGCUUGUUGGCGGGGUAAAAGCCCACCAAGGCGACGAUCUGUAGCUGGUYUGAGAGGACGACCAGCCACACUGGGACUGAGACACGGCCCAGACUCCUACGGGAGGCAGCAGUGGGGAAUUUUGGACAAUGGGCGCAAGCCUGAUCCAGCCAUGCCGCGUGCGGGAAGAAGGCCUUCGGGUUGUAAACCGCUUUUGUCAGGGAAGAAACGCUCCGGAUUAAUACCUCGGAGUAAUGACGGUACCUGAAGAAUAAGCACCGGCUAACUACGUGCCAGCAGCCGCGGKAAUUC